Molecule: long non-coding RNA, 400 nt
Organism: Triplophysa rosa
Lineage: Eukaryota; Metazoa; Chordata; Actinopteri; Cypriniformes; Nemacheilidae
Exons: 3
Source: RefSeq, a predicted model, not a curated record
GAAAAGGAGAAACAAAGAUAACAGUUAAGAACAACUUCAAAGAACUGAAAGAUGUGCGAGUAUGGACAGCUGUGUGCUGUUUUUUGUAGGAGGGAUGACACACCUGAUCACUAGAAUACGGAAGUAAAAACGAUCGCAACUUUAGGUUCACGGGGACUUUAAGCUCCGAUCAGAUACAGCACCUUCUGAUUCCAUGAGGUUUUCCGAGCUGUCGGCUGUUCCGAUGGACGCUUCCGACUCCAGCAUCUCAUCAUCAGACGCUCUGGGCUCCAAAGCCAACAUCUCGUUUUCUAUCUGUUGGGUCAAAACUCUCUCUUCUUGCUGCAUGGCUGCUUGCUGUUGCUCAGUCAUCCCAGACUCCGCCCCCUCCUCACCCGGCUCCUCCCUCUCUGCCAUCCGC